GUCGAGAAUCUUGGGCAAUGCGCGAAAGCGUGACCCAGCAAUGCCGCGUGUAUGAUGAAGGCCCUCGGGUCGUAAAGUACUGUCUCCCGUGACGAAAAAAAUGACGGUAGCGGGGAAGGAAGCCACGGCUAACUACGUGCCAGCAGCCGCGGUAAUACGUAGGUGGCGAGCGUUGUUCGGAUUUAUUGGGCGUAAAGGGUCUGUAGGAGGUAUGUUAAAUACGGGGUGAAAUCCCGAAGCUCAACUUCGGAAUUGCCUUGUAGACUGACGGACUGGAGUACCGGAGAGGUAAGCGGAAUACCAGGUGUAGCGGUGGAAUGCGUAGAUAUCUGGUAGAACACCAAGAGCGAAGGCAGCUUGCUGGACGGAAACUGACUCUGAAAGACGAAAGCAUGGGGAGCAAACAGGAUUAGAAACCCGGGUAGUCC
This 428-nucleotide ribosomal RNA is filed under the name uncultured bacterium. RNAcentral describes it as "partial 16S ribosomal RNA". It matches the Rfam family "Bacterial small subunit ribosomal RNA", at positions 354 to 796 of the family's 1533-position model. The record is from RNAcentral.